GCGUGCCUAACACAUGCAAGUCGCACGAGAAAGGGGCUUCGGCUCUGAGUAAAGUGGCGCACGGGUGAGUAACACGUGACUAACCUACCUUCGGAUGGGGAAUAACUGAGAGAAAUCUUAGCUAAUACCGCAUAAUACCUACGGGUCAAAGCAGUAAUGCGUUUGAAGAGGGGGUCGCGGUCGAUUAGUUAGUUGGCGGGGUAAUGGCCCACCAAGACGAUGAUCGAUAUCCGGCCUGAGAGGGCGCACGGACACACUGGAACUGAAACACGGUCCAGACUCCUACGGGAGGCAGCAGUGGGGAAUUUUGCGCAAUGGGGGAAACCCUGACGCAGCAACGCCGCGUGGAGGAUGAAAUAUCUUGGUAUGUAAACUCCUUUCGAUGGGGAAGAUUAUGACGGUACCCAUAGAAGAAGCCCCGGCUAACUUCGUGCCAGCAGCCGCGGUAAUACGAGGGGGGCAAGCGUUGUUCGGAAUUAUUGGGCGUAAAGGGUGCGUAGGCGGUUUGACAAGUCUCAUGUGAAAUCUCUGGGCUCAACCCAGAGUCUGCAUGGGAAACUGUCGGGCUUGAGUAUGGGAGAGGUGAGUGGAAUUUCCGGUGUAGCGGUGAAAUGCGUAGAUAUCGGAAGGAACACCUGUGGCGAAAGCGGCUCACUGGACCAUAACUGACGCUGAUGCACGAAAGCUAGGGGAGCAAACAGGAUUAGAUACCCUGGUAGUCCUAGCCCUAAACGAUGAUUGCUUGAUGUGGCAGGUACCCAAUCCUGCCGUGUCGAAGCUAACGCGAUAAGCAAUCCGCCUGGGGAGUACGGUCGCAAGGCUG
Molecule: ribosomal RNA, 823 nt
Filed under: uncultured bacterium
Lineage: Bacteria
Description: bacterial SSU rRNA
Rfam family: Bacterial small subunit ribosomal RNA
Source: RNAcentral